CCUACGGGUGGCUGCAGUGGGGAAUAUUCGACAAUGGGGGGAACCCUGAUCCAGCCAUGCCGCGUGUGUGAAGAAGGCCCUCGGGUUGUAAAGCACUUUCAGUGAGGAAGAACGCCUGGUGGUUAAUACCCAUCAGGAAAGACAGCACUCACAGAAGAAGCACCGGCUAACUCCGUGCCAGCAGCCGCGGUAAUACGGAGGGUGCGAGCGUUAAUCGGAAUUACUGGGCGUAAAGCGCGCGUAGGUGGCUUGAUAAGCCGGUUGUGAAAGCCCCGGGCUCAACCUGGGAACGGCAUCCGGAACUGUCAAGCUAGAGUGCAGGAGAGGAAGGUAGAAUUCCCGGUGUAGCGGUGAAAUGCGUAGAGAUAGGGAGGAACACCAGUGGCGAAGGCGGCCUUCUGGACUGACACUGACACUGAGGUGCGAAAGCGUGGGUAGCAAACAGGAUUAGAUACCCUUGUAGUC
RNAcentral lists this ribosomal RNA (465 nucleotides) under Vreelandella stevensii. RNAcentral describes it as "partial 16S ribosomal RNA". It matches the Rfam family "Bacterial small subunit ribosomal RNA", at positions 338 to 795 of the family's 1533-position model. The record is from RNAcentral. Lineage: Bacteria; Pseudomonadati; Pseudomonadota; Gammaproteobacteria; Oceanospirillales; Halomonadaceae.